Molecule: ribosomal RNA, 367 nt
Filed under: uncultured bacterium
Lineage: Bacteria
Description: bacterial SSU rRNA
Rfam family: Bacterial small subunit ribosomal RNA
Source: RNAcentral
GGUGCGAGCGUUGUCCGGAAUCACUGGGCGUAAAGGGCGCSYAGGUGGCCUGGUAAGUAGGGGGUGAAAUCUCGAGGCUCAACUUCGAGGCUGCCUCCUAAACUGUCAGGCUCGAGCAGAGUAGAGGCAGGUGGAAUUCCCGGUGUAGCGGUGGAAUGCGUAGAGAUCGGGAAGAACAUCGGUGGCGAAGGCGGCCUGCUGGGCUCUUGCUGACACUGAGGCGCGACAGCGUGGGGAGCAAACAGGAUUAGAUACCCUGGUAGUCCACGCCGUAAACGAUGGGUACUAGGCGCCGGGGGGAGCGACCCCUUCGGUGCCGUCGCUAACGCAAUAAGUACCCCGCCUGGGGAGUACGGCCGCAAGGCUG